AUUUAUAAGAAUAUGAUGUUGGUUCAGAUUAAGCGCUAAAUAAGGACAUGACACAUGCGAAUCAUACGUUUAUUAUUGAUAAGAUAAUAAAUAUGUGGUGUAAACGUGAGUAAUUUUAUUAGGAAUUAAUGAACUAUAGAAUAAGCUAAAUACUUAAUAUAUUAUUAAAUAAAAAUAAUUUAUAUAAUAAAAGGAUAUAUAUAUAAUAUAUAUUUAUCUAUAGUCAAGCCAAUAAUGGUUUAGGUAGUAGGUUUAUUAAGAGUUAAACCUAGCCAACGAUCCAUAAUCGAUAAUGAAAGUUAGAACGAUCACGUUGACUCUGAAAUAUAGUCAAUAUCUAUAAGAUACAGCAGUGAGGAAUAUUGGACAAUGAUCGAAAGAUUGAUCCAGUUACUUAUUAGGAUGAUAUAUAAAAAUAUUUUAUUUUAUUUAUAAAUAUUUAAUAUUUAUAAUAAUAAUAAUAAUAAUAAUAUAUAUAUAUAAAUUGAUUAAAAAUAAAAUCCAUAAAUAAUUAAAAUAAUGAUAUUAAUUACCAUAUAUAUUUUAUAUGGAUAUAUAUAUUAAUAAUAAUAUUAAUUUAUUAUUAUUAAUAAUAUAUUUUAAUAGUCCUGACUAAUAUUUGUGCCAGCAGUCGCGGUAACACAAAGAGGGCGAGCGUUAAUCAUAAUGGUUUAAAGGAUCCGUAGAAUGAAUUAUAUAUUAUAAUUUAGAGUUAAUAAAAUUAAUUAAAGAAUUAUAAUAGUAAAGAUGAAAUAAUAAUAAUAAUUAUAAGACUAAUAUAUGUGAAAAUAUUAAUUAAAUAUUAACUGACAUUGAGGGAUUAAAACUAGAGUAGCGAAACGGAUUCGAUACCCGUGUAGUUCUAGUAGUAAACUAUGAAUACAAUUAUUUAUAAUAUAUAUUAUAUAUAAAUAAUAAAUGAAAAUGAAAGUAUUCCACCUGAAGAGUACGUUAGCAAUAAUGAAACUCAAAACAAUAGACGGUUACAGACUUAAGCAGUGGAGCAUGUUAUUUAAUUCGAUAAUCCACGACUAACCUUACCAUAUUUUGAAUAUUAUAAUAAUUAUUAUAAUUAUUAUAUUACAGGCGUUACAUUGUUGUCUUUAGUUCGUGCUGCAAAGUUUUAGAUUAAGUUCAUAAACGAACAAAACUCCAUAUAUAUAAUUUUAAUUAUAUAUAAUUUUAUAUUAUUUAUUAAUAUAAAGAAAGGAAUUAAGACAAAUCAUAAUGAUCCUUAUAAUAUGGGUAAUAGACGUGCUAUAAUAAAAUGAUAAUAAAAUUAUAUAAAAUAUAUUUAAUUAUAUUUAAUUAAUAAUAUAAAACAUUUUAAUUUUUAAUAUAUUUUUUUAUUAUAUAUUAAUAUGAAUUAUAAUCUGAAAUUCGAUUAUAUGAAAAAAGAAUUGCUAGUAAUACGUAAAUUAGUAUGUUACGGUGAAUAUUCUAACUGUUUCGCACUAAUCACUCAUCACGCGUUGAAACAUAUUAUUAUCUUAUUAUUUAUAUAAUAUUUUUUAAUAAAUAUUAAUAAUUAUUAAUUUAUAUUUAUUUAUAUCAGAAAUAAUAUGAAUUAAUGCGAAGUUGAAAUACAGUUACCGUAGGGGAACCUGCGGUGGGCUUAUAAAUAUC
This 1626-nucleotide non-coding RNA is filed under the name Saccharomyces cerevisiae (brewer's yeast). RNAcentral's name for it is "ribosomal RNA". It matches the Rfam family "Bacterial small subunit ribosomal RNA". Lineage: Eukaryota; Fungi; Ascomycota; Saccharomycetes; Saccharomycetales; Saccharomycetaceae. The record is from RNAcentral.